UACGUAGGUGGCAAGCGUUGUCCGGAUUUACUGGGCGUAAAGAGCGCGCAGGCGGUCGUUCAAGUCGGAUGUGAAAGCCCCCGGCUCAACUGGGGAGGGUCAUUCGAUACUGAUCGACUCGAAGGCAGGAGAGGGUAGUGGAAUUCCCGGUGUAGUGGUGAAAUGCGUAGAUAUCGGGAGGAACACCAGUGGCGAAGGCGACUACCUGGCCUGUUCUUGACGCUGAGGCGCGAAAGCUAGGGGAGCAAACGGG
RNAcentral lists this ribosomal RNA (253 nucleotides) under uncultured bacterium. Its description in RNAcentral is "partial 16S ribosomal RNA". It matches the Rfam family "Bacterial small subunit ribosomal RNA", at positions 524 to 776 of the family's 1533-position model. The record is from RNAcentral.